RNAcentral lists this ribosomal RNA (368 nucleotides) under uncultured organism. RNAcentral's name for it is "bacterial SSU rRNA". It matches the Rfam family "Bacterial small subunit ribosomal RNA", at positions 526 to 896 of the family's 1533-position model. The record is from RNAcentral.
CGGAGGAUCCAAGCGUUAUCCGGAUUUAUUGGGUUUAAAGGGUGCGUAGGCGGCUUAUUAAGUCAGGGGUGAAAGACGGUGGCUCAACCAUCGCAGUGCCCUUGAUACUGAUGAGCUUGAAUGGACUAGAGGUAGGCGGAAUGUGACAAGUAGCGGUGAAAUGCAUAGAUAUGUCACAGAACACCGAUUGCGAAGGCAGCUUACUAUGGUUCAAUUGACGCUGAGGCACGAAAGCGUGGGGAUCAAACAGGAUUAGAUACCCUGGUAGUCCACGCCCUAAACGAUGAAUACUCGCUGUUAGCGAUACACAGUUAGCGGCUAAGCGAAAGCGUUAAGUAUUCCACCUGGGGAGUACGCCCGCAAGGGUG